RNAcentral lists this ribosomal RNA (468 nucleotides) under uncultured bacterium. Its description in RNAcentral is "partial 16S ribosomal RNA". It matches the Rfam family "Bacterial small subunit ribosomal RNA", at positions 28 to 507 of the family's 1533-position model. The record is from RNAcentral.
GACGAACGCUGGCGGCGUGCUUAACACAUGCAAGUCGAACGGAAAGGCCCUGCUUUUGUGGGGUGCUCGAGUGGCGAACGGGUGAGUAACACGUGAGUAACCUGCCCUUGACUUUGGGAUAACUUCAGGAAACUGGGGCUAAUACCGGAUAGGAGCUCCUGCUGCAUGGUGGGGGUUGGAAAGUUUCGGCGGUUGGGGAUGGACUCGCGGCUUAUCAGCUUGUUGGUGGGGUAGUGGCUUACCAAGGCUUUGACGGGUAGCCGGCCUGGGAGGGUGACCGGCCACAUUGGGACUGGGAUACGGCCCAGACUCCUACGGGAGGCAGCAGUGGGGGAUAUUGCACACUGGGCGGAAGCCUGAUGCAGCAACGCCGCGUGCGGGAUGACGGCCUUCGGGUUGUAAACCGCUUUCGCCUGUGACGAAGCGUGAGUGACGGUAAUGUGUAAAGAAGCACCGGCUAACUACGUG